AUUGAACGCUGGCGGCAUGCCUAACACAUGCAAGUCGAACGGCAGAAGGGGGCUUUCCCCCGGAUUGCGAGGGGGGCGGGGGAGUGAAGCACAUGAAUCUACCUGGUAGUGGGGGGGAAAGUCCGGAGAAGGGCGGAUAUAUAGCACACGCGAUGAGGGAGUGAGAGGGGGAUCUUCUGAGGUCACGCGAUCAGGGGUGCCGAGAUCGGAUUAGCUAGUGGGUGGGGUAAAGGCCUACCAAGGCGCCGAUCCGUAACUGGGCUGAGAGGAGGAGCAGCCACACUGGGACUGAGACACGGCCCAGACUCCUACGGGAGGCAGCAGUGGGGAAUUUUGGACAAUGGGCGAAAGCCUGAUCCAGCAAUGCCGCGUGUGUGAAGAAGGUCUUCGGGUUGUAAAGCACUUUUGUCCGGAAGGAAGGGCUUGACCCUAAUACGUUCGGGGUAUGACGGUACCGGAAGAAUAAGCACCGGCUAACUACGUG
This 484-nucleotide ribosomal RNA is filed under the name uncultured bacterium. RNAcentral describes it as "partial 16S ribosomal RNA". It matches the Rfam family "Bacterial small subunit ribosomal RNA", at positions 29 to 507 of the family's 1533-position model. The record is from RNAcentral.